AUGGUAGGAUAGAGGCCUACCAUGGUUUUAACGGGUAACGGGGAAUUAGGGUUCGAUUCCGGAGAGGGAGCCUGAGAAACGGCUACCACAUCCAAGGAAGGCAGCAGGCGCGCAAAUUACCCAAUCCCAACACGGGGAGGUAGUGACAAUAAAUAACAAUAUGGGGCUCUUACGAGUCUCGUAAUUGGAAUGAGUACAAUUUAAAUCUCUUAACGAGGAACAAUUGGAGGGCAAGUCUGGUGCCAGCAGCCGCGGUAAUUCCAGCUCCAAUAGCGUAUAUUAAAGUUGUUGCAGUUAAAAAGCUCGUAGUUGAAUUUCGGAAUCCAUCCGUCGGUCGGGCUUCACGGUCCGCACUGGUGCGAUGGAUUCCUACCUUCUGAAUAACCAGCAUGCUAUUAAUUUGGUGCGUUGGGGAAGCAGGACUGUUACCUUGAAAAGAUUAGAGUGCUUAAAGCAGGCUAGUGCCUGAAUACAUUAGCAUGGAAUAAUGAAAUAGGACGGCAUGGUUCUAUUUUGUUGGUUUCUAGGAUCACCGUAAUGAUUAAUAGGGAUAGUUGGGGGCAUUAGUAUUCAAUUGUCAGAGGUGAAAUUCUUGGAUUUAUUGAAGACUAACUUCUGCGAAAGCAUUUGCCAAGGAUGUUUUCAUUAAUCAAGAACGAAAGUUAGGGGAUCGAAGACGAUCAGAUACUGUCGUAGUCUUAACCAUAAACUAUGCCGACUAGGGAUCGGACGAUGUUGAUUUUUUAAUGACUCGUUCGGCGCCUUACGGGAAACCAAAGUGUUUGGG
Molecule: ribosomal RNA, 787 nt
Filed under: uncultured Acaulospora
Lineage: Eukaryota; Fungi; Glomeromycota; Glomeromycetes; Diversisporales; Acaulosporaceae
Description: SSU rRNA
Rfam family: Eukaryotic small subunit ribosomal RNA
Source: RNAcentral